GAUGAACGCUGGCGGCGUGCCUAAUACAUGCAAGUCGAGCGAACGGACGAGAAGCUUGCUUCUCUGAUGUUAGCGGCGGACGGGGGAGUAACACGUGGAUAACCUACCUAUAAGACUGGGAUAACUUCGGGAAACCGGAGCUAAUACCGGAUAAUAUUUUGAACCGCAUGGUUCAAAAGUGAACGGCGGUCUUGCUGUCACUUAUAGAUGGAUCCGCGCUGCAUUAGCUAGUUGGUAAGGUAACGGCUUACCAAGGCAACGAUGCAUAGCCGACCUGAGAGGGUGAUCGGCCACACUGGAACUGAGACACGGUCCAGACUCCUACGGGAGGCAGCAGUAGGGAAUCUUCCGCAAUGGGCGAAAGCCUGACGGAGCAACGCCGCGUGAGUGAUGAAGGUCUUCGGAUCGUAAAACUCUGUUAUUAGGGAAGAACAUAUGUGUAAGUAACUGUGCACAUCUUGACGGUACCUAAUCAGAAAGCCACGGCUAACUACGUG
This 497-nucleotide ribosomal RNA is filed under the name uncultured bacterium. RNAcentral's name for it is "partial 16S ribosomal RNA". It matches the Rfam family "Bacterial small subunit ribosomal RNA", at positions 28 to 507 of the family's 1533-position model. The record is from RNAcentral.